AUAUUUUAAACAGUCACUUGACUCUGCUGUUCCCCCUUCCUCCCUAUUUUCCAAUGGCAAACUUCUGGUUUGCAUUCCACUUCCAGUAACCGCUCGUCGCCAUGUUCUUCUCCUUCUCUAGCUGCUUCGCCCCUAUCCCUAGAAAUGAUGAAGAUGUUGAUGUGUAUAAAUUCUAGUUGGGUCUAUAAUAUCACAUAUGUAUAUGGGUGUCACUUUUCAAUUGUCUUAAGAACUAAAUGAGGAGACAUUUCAUUGAGAAACAUGAAAUGAGAUUGAGAUUUCUAAGGGUCAUUUGCUCAUUUCUGCAACCCUUGUAGUUGUCCUAUUAAUAUAUCACGCUUUAUGAAAAUACAUAGGAAUAUCAAGCUGGUUUUCAUAUCAAAA
Long non-coding RNA from Lotus japonicus, 384 nucleotides. RefSeq lists it as uncharacterized. The transcript has 2 exons. NCBI's taxonomy places the organism in Eukaryota, Viridiplantae, Streptophyta, Magnoliopsida, Fabales, Fabaceae. The record is from RefSeq and is a predicted model, not a curated record.